This is an RNA transcript of Aethina tumida (small hive beetle), 1573 nucleotides long. It is a transcript of the gene named golgin subfamily A member 6-like protein 2, with no coding region annotated. The record is from RefSeq and is a predicted model, not a curated record. The transcript has 7 exons. NCBI's taxonomy places the organism in Eukaryota, Metazoa, Arthropoda, Insecta, Coleoptera, Nitidulidae.
ACUGUUUGUUUAUUUACGAUCAAACAUCAAAAUUGAAAGUGAAAGCUGAGAACGAAUUCACAACGUUUUCUUUAAAAAUGUUAGAAAAUCGUUUGGAAUCCAACGUCAAUUUGAAUAGCGUCAUUUGCGAAUUGGAAAAAUCAGAAAAACUGUUCAUAGAACAGCUGUCUAAAUAUGAGGACUUUACAAUGGAUAAAUUCGUCGAAGAUGUCGAAAGACGAAGAGAGAAAGAAUACGAAAACGUAAAAAGCGAAGUGCGAUUUGUUGUCGAAAAACUACAAGAAAAACUAAAGAAUUUUCAAAACAACAAAUUUCCCUCAAUCGAAGCUCUGCCAGAUUUCAAAAAGGAAAUGCUCGAACUUCAAACGAAAAUCACAAAUUUGAAACAAAACUCCCAACAAACGUUGGCCGUUUUGAAAAUGGAGGAGAAAAACUUGACGAAAGAUUUACAAAAAAUCAGCGAAAGCAUCGAUUUGACUCGCAAACAAAGUGCAAUCACGAUCAAGAUACCUAAAAUGGAAGCGGCAAUCAACGAAUCCGGCGAUAAAAUUAACAAAGUAAAGGAAACAAAGGAUUUUAUGGAUUUCGUUCAUUUAGUCUCGGACGAGUGCGGACUCACUUUCGACGAUUUUACGAUGUUUUUGAACGUCGCCAAGAAUAACGACGACAUUUACGACGUUUUGACCACAGUCUCUAAGCAAAAGCCAGAAAUACCCGAAGAAAUUUGGUUGAGAAUCACCGAAUUUUACAUACAAUUUAACGAAAUGCGAAACAGAAAACCGAAAAAAUUGAUGUUCGAUCGAAAAAAUUCGGAAAAACGAGUCGACAAUUUUUUGAAUUUGGAAACGAUGAAGGAGAAUCUGCUCGAGUGGAAGCUGAAAAAGGAGGAGAAGAAAAAAACGGUCGAGGCGUACGACAAAUUCAUGGAAAGGGAGCGCAAAAGAUUGAACGAGCAAGAGCGGAAGCGUAGAGACUACGUCAAAAACAUGGUCAAUCUGUGGAAGCUGGAGAACGAACGUCGCAACAUCGAAAAUCGAGAAGCGAAUCGCGUCGAGAAAACGCUCAAGUCACGCGAAAUCAACAAGGAAAUCAAACAGUUUCAGAAACGUGACGAAAUCUAUCUCAGGAAUAAAAUGCGACUGACCGAAAAGGUGAAGAAGCAACGUGAAAGCGUGAAAAGGACGCCCAAAACGAAAUCGAGCAAGCUGAUGAUGAACACGAAACAGUUCAUGAACAGGAUCAAAAAGACGAACGAGAAAAAGGACAAACCGACCGAAGGAAACAUCAGGAACAUCCAGAAAUUUUUGACGUUUCUGAACGAAAAACAAGUCGACGAAUCGCCUUUUUCUCGUCUGAAUCGGAUAGUUUUACACUAAAGUCUAUCUGCAUAUAUUGUUUUCUUUUCCAAAUUCUCCGCACUUUUCUUAUGAUAUGUUGGCGAUUCCGCAGUGGAGAAAAGGGUUGCUUUGAUUGGUCCGUCAACCUUCAAAUAAUCUAGUCCAUUAUCACUCAUCACCCCUUUUGUCGUUUCAUAUCAAUAAAAACUGACAACGUGUCGUUGUUCAUAAACUAA